Cebus imitator (Panamanian white-faced capuchin) is the source of this 83-nucleotide ribosomal RNA. NCBI's taxonomy places the organism in Eukaryota, Metazoa, Chordata, Mammalia, Primates, Cebidae. The record is from Ensembl.
GUCUAUGGCCAUACCACACUGAACGUGCCCGAUCUCGUCUGAUCUCGGAAACUAAGCAGGGUCAGGCCUGGUUACUAUAUCAC